RNAcentral lists this ribosomal RNA (700 nucleotides) under Aspicilia cinerea. RNAcentral's name for it is "partial large subunit ribosomal RNA". It matches the Rfam family "Eukaryotic large subunit ribosomal RNA", at positions 75 to 793 of the family's 3401-position model. The record is from RNAcentral. Lineage: Eukaryota; Fungi; Ascomycota; Lecanoromycetes; Pertusariales; Megasporaceae.
UUGCCUCANUAACGGCGAGUGAAGCGGCNCAGCUCAAAUUUGAAAUCUGGCCUUCCGGGCCCGANUUGUAAUUUGUACAGGGAGUUUCCGAGGCGGCACCGGCCUAACUUCCUUGGAACAGGGCGUCAUACAGGGUGAGAAUCCCGUACGUGGCCGGUGAUCAAUUCCGUGUGAAACCCCUUCCACUAGUCNAGUUGUUUGGGAAUGCAGCUCACAAUGGGUGGUAAAUUUCAUCUAAAGCUGAAUAUUGGCCACAGACCAAUAGCGCACAAGUAGAGUGAUCGAAAGAUGAAAAGCACUUUGUAAAGAAAGUUAAAAAGUACGUGAAAUUGUUGAAAGGGAAAAGCUUGCAAUCAGACUUGCUCGCGGGUGAUCAGCCUUUCCUUCGGGGGGGUGCACUCGCCCGCGAUCAGGCCAGCAUCGGUUUUGGCGGGCGGAUAAAGGCCCCAGGAAUGUAACUCCCCUCGGGGAGUGUUAUAGCCUGGGGUGCAAUGCGCCCAGCCGGGACCGAGGACCGCGCUUCGGCUAGGAUGCUGGCGUAAUGGUUGUAAGCGACCCGUCUUGAAACACGGACCAAGGAGUCUAACAUCUGUGCGAGUGUUUGGGUGUUAAGCCCAUGCGCGGAAUGAAAGUGAACGGANNUGGGAGCCCUUUCNGGGGCGCACCAUCNNNAGAUCCUGAUGUUUUCGGAUGGAUUUGA